RNAcentral lists this long non-coding RNA (214 nucleotides) under Salvia miltiorrhiza (redroot sage). RNAcentral describes it as "long non-coding RNA (SMIL_LNC012016)". The record is from RNAcentral. Lineage: Eukaryota; Viridiplantae; Streptophyta; Magnoliopsida; Lamiales; Lamiaceae.
CUCAAUUCGAUAGCAAAAUUAAAAUCUAGAAGAUGAAAAUACACUCAGCAAACUGAAGAUUACAAUAGAAAAAUGCAUUUAUACACAGAUCUAAUCUAUUGCAAAAUCCCACGCACAACGGCUGCUUGAGCUGAAUCAAUUAGUUGAAAUAACUACUGUUAUUCCCUUUGCUCGCAUAUCCUUCUACUUUAUGAAUAUUGCAGUCGACCCCCUG